RNAcentral lists this ribosomal RNA (1530 nucleotides) under Escherichia coli DEC2D. Its description in RNAcentral is "bacterial SSU rRNA". It matches the Rfam family "Bacterial small subunit ribosomal RNA". The record is from RNAcentral. Lineage: Bacteria; Pseudomonadati; Pseudomonadota; Gammaproteobacteria; Enterobacterales; Enterobacteriaceae.
AGAGUUUGAUCAUGGCUCAGAUUGAACGCUGGCGGCAGGCCUAACACAUGCAAGUCGAACGGUAACAGAAAGCAGCUUGCUGCUUUGCUGACGAGUGGCGGACGGGUGAGUAAUGUCUGGGAAACUGCCCGAUGGAGGGGGAUAACUACUGGAAACGGUAGCUAAUACCGCAUAACGUCGCAAGACCAAAGAGGGGGACCUUAGGGCCUCUUGCCAUCGGAUGUGCCCAGAUGGGAUUAGCUAGUAGGUGGGGUAACGGCUCACCUAGGCGACGAUCCCUAGCUGGUCUGAGAGGAUGACCAGCCACACUGGAACUGAGACACGGUCCAGACUCCUACGGGAGGCAGCAGUGGGGAAUAUUGCACAAUGGGCGCAAGCCUGAUGCAGCCAUGCCGCGUGUAUGAAGAAGGCCUUCGGGUUGUAAAGUACUUUCAGCGGGGAGGAAGGGAGUAAAGUUAAUACCUUUGCUCAUUGACGUUACCCGCAGAAGAAGCACCGGCUAACUCCGUGCCAGCAGCCGCGGUAAUACGGAGGGUGCAAGCGUUAAUCGGAAUUACUGGGCGUAAAGCGCACGCAGGCGGUUUGUUAAGUCAGAUGUGAAAUCCCCGGGCUCAACCUGGGAACUGCAUCUGAUACUGGCAAGCUUGAGUCUCGUAGAGGGGGGUAGAAUUCCAGGUGUAGCGGUGAAAUGCGUAGAGAUCUGGAGGAAUACCGGUGGCGAAGGCGGCCCCCUGGACGAAGACUGACGCUCAGGUGCGAAAGCGUGGGGAGCAAACAGGAUUAGAUACCCUGGUAGUCCACGCCGUAAACGAUGUCGACUUGGAGGUUGUGCCCUUGAGGCGUGGCUUCCGGAGCUAACGCGUUAAGUCGACCGCCUGGGGAGUACGGCCGCAAGGUUAAAACUCAAAUGAAUUGACGGGGGCCCGCACAAGCGGUGGAGCAUGUGGUUUAAUUCGAUGCAACGCGAAGAACCUUACCUGGUCUUGACAUCCACGGAAGUUUUCAGAGAUGAGAAUGUGCCUUCGGGAACCGUGAGACAGGUGCUGCAUGGCUGUCGUCAGCUCGUGUUGUGAAAUGUUGGGUUAAGUCCCGCAACGAGCGCAACCCUUAUCCUUUGUUGCCAGCGGUCCGGCCGGGAACUCAAAGGAGACUGCCAGUGAUAAACUGGAGGAAGGUGGGGAUGACGUCAAGUCAUCAUGGCCCUUACGACCAGGGCUACACACGUGCUACAAUGGCGCAUACAAAGAGAAGCGACCUCGCGAGAGCAAGCGGACCUCAUAAAGUGCGUCGUAGUCCGGAUUGGAGUCUGCAACUCGACUCCAUGAAGUCGGAAUCGCUAGUAAUCGUGGAUCAGAAUGCCACGGUGAAUACGUUCCCGGGCCUUGUACACACCGCCCGUCACACCAUGGGAGUGGGUUGCAAAAGAAGUAGGUAGCUUAACCUUCGGGAGGGCGUUUACCACUUUGUGAUUCAUGACUGGGGUGAAGUCGUAACAAGGUAACCGUAGGGGAACCUGCGGUUGGAUCACCU